AUACAUGCAAGUCGAGCGGACAGAUGGGAGCUUGCUCCCUGAUGUUAGCGGCGGACGGGUGAGUAACACGUGGGUAACCUGCCUGUAAGACUGGGAUAACUCCGGGAAACCGGGGCUAAUACCGGAUGGUUGUUUGAACCGCAUGGUUCAAACAUAAAAGGUGGCUUCGGCUACCACUUACAGAUGGACCCGCGGCGCAUUAGCUAGUUGGUGAGGUAACGGCUCACCAAGGCAACGAUGCGUAGCCGACCUGAGAGGGUGAUCGGCCACACUGGGACUGAGACACGGCCCAGACUCCUACGGGAGGCAGCAGUAGGGAAUCUUCCGCAAUGGACGAAAGUCUGACGGAGCAACGCCGCGUGAGUGAUGAAGGUUUUCGGAUCGUAAAGCUCUGUUGUUAGGGAAGAACAAGUACCGUUCGAAUAGGGCGGUACCUUGACGGUACCUAACCAGAAAGCCACGGCUAACUACGUGCCAGCAGCCGCGGUAAUACGUAGGUGGCAAGCGUUGUCCGGAAUUAUUGGGCGUAAAGGGCUCGCAGGCGGUUUCUUAAGUCUGAUGUGAAAGCCCCCGGCUCAACCGGGGAGGGUCAUUGGAAACUGGGGAACUUGAGUGCAGAAGAGGAGAGUGGAAUUCCACGUGUAGCGGUGAAAUGCGUAGAGAUGUGGAGGAACACCAGUGGCGAAGGCGACUCUCUGGUCUGUAACUGACGCUGAGGAG
RNAcentral lists this ribosomal RNA (720 nucleotides) under Bacillus subtilis. Its description in RNAcentral is "bacterial SSU rRNA". It matches the Rfam family "Bacterial small subunit ribosomal RNA", at positions 51 to 753 of the family's 1533-position model. Lineage: Bacteria; Bacillati; Bacillota; Bacilli; Caryophanales; Bacillaceae. The record is from RNAcentral.